This 492-nucleotide ribosomal RNA is filed under the name uncultured bacterium. Its description in RNAcentral is "partial 16S ribosomal RNA". It matches the Rfam family "Bacterial small subunit ribosomal RNA", at positions 29 to 507 of the family's 1533-position model. The record is from RNAcentral.
AUUGAACGCUGGCGGCAUGCUUUACACAUGCAAGUCGAACGGUAACAGGCCUUCGGGUGCUGACGAGUGGCGAACGGGUGUGUAAUGCAUCGGAACGUACCCAGAGGUGGGGGAUAACGCAGCGAAAGCUGUGCUAAUACCGCAUGUGAUCUGAGGAUGAAAGCGGGGGACCGAGCAGCAAUGUUUGGCCUCGCGCCUUUGGAGCGGCCGAUGUCGGAUUAGCUAGUUGGUGGGGUAAAGGCCUACCAAGGCGACGAUCCGUAGCUGGUCUGAGAGGACGACCAGCCACACUGGGACUGAGACACGGCCCAGACUCCUACGGGAGGCAGCAGUGGGGAAUGUUGGACAAUGGGCGCAAGCCUGAUCCAGCAAUGCCGCGUGCGGGAAGAAGGCCUUCGGGUUGUAAACCGCUUUUGGCAGGAACGAAACGGUGUCCGCUAAUACCGGGCGCUAAUGACGGUACCUGCAGAAUAAGCACCGGCUAACUACGUG